This 406-nucleotide ribosomal RNA is filed under the name uncultured soil bacterium. Its description in RNAcentral is "bacterial SSU rRNA". It matches the Rfam family "Bacterial small subunit ribosomal RNA", at positions 26 to 440 of the family's 1533-position model. The record is from RNAcentral.
AGAUUGAACGCUGGCGGCAUGCCUUACACAUGCAAGUCGAACGGUAGAGUAGCAAUACUCGAGAGUGGCGAACGGGUGAGUAAUAUAUCGGAACGUGCCCAGUCGUGGGGGAUAACGUAGAGAAAUUUACGCUAAUACCGCAUACGAUCUACGGAUGAAAGCGGGGGAUCGCAAGACCUCGCGCGAUUGGAGCGGCUGAUAUCAGAUUAGGUGUUGGUGAGGUAAAAGCUCACCAAGCCGAUGAUCUGUAGCUGGUUUGAGAGAACGACCAGCCACACUGGACUGAGACACGGCCCAGACUCCUACGGGAGCAGCAGUGGGAAUUUUGGACAAGUGGGCGAAAGCCUGAUCCGAGCAAUGCCGCGUGCAGGAAGAAGGCCUUCGGGUUAGUAAACGUGCGUUUUUA